Molecule: ribosomal RNA, 467 nt
Filed under: uncultured bacterium
Lineage: Bacteria
Description: partial 16S ribosomal RNA
Rfam family: Bacterial small subunit ribosomal RNA
Source: RNAcentral
GACGAACGCUGGCGGCGUGCUUAACACAUGCAAGUCGAACGGAAAGGCCCUGCUUUUGUGGGGUGCUCGAGUGGCGAACGGGUGAGUAACACGUGAGUAACCUGCCCUUGACUUUGGGAUAACUUCAGGAAACUGGGGCUAAUACCGGAUAGGAGCUCCUGCUGCAUGGUGGGGGUUGGAAAGUCUCGGCGGUUGGGGAUGGACUCGCGGCUUAUCAGCUUGUUGGUGGGGUAGUGGCUUACCAAGGCUUUGACGGGUAGCCGGCCUGGGAGGGGGACCGGCCACAUUGGGACUGAGAUACGGCCCAGACUCGUACGGGAGGCAGCAGGGGGGAGUAUUGCACAAUGGGCGGAAGCGUGAUGCAGCAGCGCCGCGUGCGGGAUGACGGCUUUCGGGGUGUAAACCGCUUUCGCUUGUGACGAAGCGUGAGUGACGGGAAUGAGAAAAGAAGCACCGGCUAACUACGU